CAGGGAAUCUUGCGCAAUGGGCGAAAGCCUGACGCAGCAACGCCGCGUGGGGGAUGACGGCCUUCGGUUGUAAACCCCUUUCAGGAGGGAAGAAAUUGACGGUACCUCCAGAAGAAGCCCCGGCCAACUACGUGCCAGCAGCCGCGGUAAUACGUAGGGGGCGAGCGUUGUCCGGAAUUAUUGGGCGUAAAGAGCUCGUAGGCGGCUCAGCAAGUCGGCGGUGAAAUCCCGAGGCUCAACCUCGGAACUGCCGUCGAUACUGCUGUGGCUAGAGUCUGGUAGAGGAGAAUGGAAUUCCCGGUGUAGCGGUGAAAUGCGCAGUAUAUCGGGAGGAACACCAGUAGCGAAGGCGGUUCUCUGGGCCAGUACUGACGCUGAGGAGCGAAAGCGUGGGGAGCAAACAGGAUUGGAUACCCUGGUAGUCCACGCCGUAAACGUUGGGUACUAGGUGUGGCGUCCCGAUCAACGGGUGCCGUGCCGAAGCUAACGCAUUAAGUACCCCGCCUGGGGAGUA
Molecule: ribosomal RNA, 514 nt
Filed under: uncultured Actinomycetes bacterium
Lineage: Bacteria; Bacillati; Actinomycetota; Actinomycetes
Description: bacterial SSU rRNA
Rfam family: Bacterial small subunit ribosomal RNA
Source: RNAcentral